GGUAUGUCAGUAUGUGAUAUGUGAUCAACCU
This 31-nucleotide non-coding RNA is filed under the name Mus musculus (house mouse). The record is from RNAcentral. Lineage: Eukaryota; Metazoa; Chordata; Mammalia; Rodentia; Muridae.